AUGGGAGCUUGCUCCCAUUUCUCAGCGGCGGACGGGUGAGUAACACGUGGGCAACCUGCCCUGCAGACUGGGAUAACUCCGGGAAACCGGAGCUAAUACCGGGUAAUACAUAGCAUCGCAUGAUGCAACGUUGAAAGUUGGCCUUUGGCUAACACUGUAGGAUGGGCCCGCGGCGCAUUAGCUAGUUGGUAAGGUAACGGCUUACCAAGGCCACGAUGCGUAGCCGACCUGAGAGGGUGAUCGGCCACACUGGGACUGAGACACGGCCCAGACUCCUACGGGAGGCAGCAGUAGGGAAUCUUCCGCAAUGGACGAAAGUCUGACGGAGCAACGCCGCGUGAGUGACGAAGGCCUUCGGGUCGUAAAGCUCUGUUGUUAGGGAAGAACAAGUACCGUUCGAAUAGGGCGGUACCUUGACGGUACCUAACCAGAAAGCCACGGCUAACUACGUGCCAGCAGCCGCGGUAAUACGUAGGUGGCAAGCGUUGUCCGGAAUUAUUGGGCGUAAAGCGCGCGCAGGCGGUCUCUUAAGUCUGAUGUGAAAGCCCACGGCUCAACCGUGGAGGGCCAUUGGAAACUGGGGGACUUGAGUGCAGAAGAGGAGAGUGGAAUUCCACGUGUAGCGGUGAAAUGCGUAGAUAUGUGGAGGAACACCAGUGGCGAAGGCGGCUCUCUGGUCUGUAACUGACGCUGAGGCGCGAAAGCGUGGGGAGCGAACAGGAUUAGAUACCCUGGUAGUCCACGCCGUAAACGAUGAGUGCUAGGUGUUGGGGGCUUCCACCCUCAGUGCUGAAGUUAACACAUUAAGCACUCCGCCUGGGGAGUACGACCGCAAGGUUGAAACUCAAAGGAAUUGACGGGGGCCCGCACAAGCAGUGGAGCAUGUGGUUUAAUUCGAAGCAACGCGAAGAACCUUACCAGGUCUUGACAUCCUCUGCCACUCCUAGAGAUAGGACGUUCCCCUUCGGGGGACAGAGUGACAGGUGGUGCAUGGUUGUCGUCAG
RNAcentral lists this ribosomal RNA (1004 nucleotides) under Bacillus sp. (in: firmicutes). RNAcentral's name for it is "bacterial SSU rRNA". It matches the Rfam family "Bacterial small subunit ribosomal RNA", at positions 72 to 1058 of the family's 1533-position model. Lineage: Bacteria; Bacillati; Bacillota; Bacilli; Caryophanales; Bacillaceae. The record is from RNAcentral.